GUAUAUAAGCGACUCUUCACGAAAGGUUGCAAGUAAACAAACGCAACCAUUCAGGAAAGAUUGCAAAAUGAAUAAAUGCAACCUUUCGUGAAAGAUUGUAAAUUGAACAAGUAUAACCUCAAAGGUUGUCCUGAAGAGACACGUAAAAUUCAGAAUAAUAAUAAAAAAAUAGUAAUUUUUUAAAAAAUAAAAUUCAGAAUUUCAGAAUUUCCUAAAUUCCUUAAUAAACAAAAAAAAAACCUUUAUACUAAUCAAUGUUAAUAAGAUAACUGUACAACAUUAAAAAUACAAUGGGACUUCAUAAUUUCCUAAAUUACUUAAUUAAAAAAAACCUUUCAACUAAUAAAUGUUAAUAAGAUAACUGUACAACAGAAAAUAAAAAUAAAUGGGUUAGUGUUAAUUAAAUCGCGGGCGCACAAACGUGCUAAGUGCUAAGUGCACCUAAUAAUUGUACACCCGCACACGGGUAUUGUAAAGUCUAGCUCACAUCCGAACCUUUUCUUUGAACGCACUAUAAAAGGGUCAUACUUAUAAAUUGGCUCAUCUCCUCCAUUCCUAUGUGGGACAAGAAAAAGCAUCUUUGUUUGUUUUACAAAUAAACAACCAACACUUGUUCAUCAAAGUUUUGUGAUCAUGCUUAUGAUUUAUGAUGUGUGAAAAAUCAAAGUCAGAUCUUCUAAUUGAAUAUAUAUCUCUUUUUUCUUUUCUUUUUUGCUGAAUAUUUCUUGUAGGACCUUCAAAAUUUGAAGUUCAUUAAUUUUAGUUCAUGCCAAUCACUGGUUUGUACGCCGAACCUCGAUGGUACUCCGAAUCUCAAGAAAUUGGAUCUCAGUUGGUGCAAAAACUUGAAGCGUGUCCACGAAUUAGUUGCAUAUCAUGGCAAAUUACAAUUUUUGAAUUUGCAUUCUUGCUCCAAACUUCAUCAUUUCCCCGAUGUACUCCGAACCAAGAAUCUUUUAUUUCUCAAUCUUGAUUGUUGCUCAAAAUUGCAAAGAUUCCCUGAUAUUCUAGAUAAAAUCAAAGGCUUGCGUAGACUUUCUUUAACCGGAACUUCAAUUGAGGAACUUCCUGCAUCCAUAGAAAAUCUUGUCUCUUUGAAAGAUAUAGAUUUAUCCCAUUGUAAGAAACUAGCAAUCCUUCCACCUAGCAUUUAUAAAUUAGAAAAUCUUGGGUAUCUUAACCUUUCGAAUUGCUCAAAACUAAUGAAGUUUCCAAAGAAGGAGGAGGAUUCUAGUGAUCCUUAUGCGGGAUUUCCUCAGUUACUUUAUUUAACCCUUAAUGAAUGCAAUCUAUCAGAAGUAGAGUUUCUAGAGAAUCCUUCAUGUUUUCCUCACUUAUAUCAGUUGGAUGUUUCGGGUUGUCAAAUUAGAAAAUCUUGGGUAUCUUAACCUUUCGAAUUGCUCAAAACUAAUGAAGUUUCCAAAGAAGGAGGAGGAUUCUAGUGAUCCUUAUGCGGGAUUUCCUCAGUUACUUUAUUUAACCCUUAAUGAAUGCAAUCUAUCAGAAGUAGAGUUUCUAGAGAAUCCUUCAUGUUUUCCUCACUUAUAUCAGUUGGAUGUUUCGGGUUGUCACCAACUAAAAGAGAUUCUCAAGAUUCCAAGGAAAUUGCACGCUCUGAAAGCAAUUGAUUGCAAAUCUCUGAGUAAAAUUCCCUCCGACAUACAUCAUGUUGAGUAUGCUUACUUACCUUUAUGUCCUAAACUGGUCAACAAUGGAUCGACCAUGAAUGAUUUGGUCAACCUUGAGGUUAGACUCUCUCUCUCUCUCUCUCUCUCUCUCUCUAAAGGCUGAAAAUCUAGAAUCGGCCGGCUAAUUAAGAAAAGCAAAUAUAUGGAAAGUGAUUUGUGCAUAAAUGAUAUUCUCUCUAUUUAUGGAACUCUAGUUGCUAUGGAAUUAUAAGGAUCAUCCAAUGGAAAACUUCAAUAAUACAUGUUCAUCCAAUUACAAAAUCUUCAACCAUAAAUUAAUUAUUUUCACCAAUUAAUUACAAAACAUCUUUGUAAUGCUAUUGCUAACUAUAGCUUAACUCUAGGACUACCAAUUUUUUUUUUAGUACUACCAACUUAACCGAUUGAAACUUCUCUUUUUAUGUGCCAAUUUGGAAAAGCUAUCUGACGGCUUACAUGUAUGACAGCAUUUUUAUCCCAGAGGCCAUUUUCUUCUAUCUGGAGGAGAGAUGCCAUGGUGGUUGCUCCCUAAUAAAGAGGGUUAUUUAUCUUUCACGGCUUCAAAGGACUUGUAUAAGAAGAUUGUGGCAUUAGUUGUUAGUGUUGUAUUUCGCAAAGAACGCAAGAGCGGUCGUCAAUUUUAUCUUGAAUCAUUCGUUAAUGGCAAAGGGAUAAUGUGUUACAAUCAUGGUGAUUUUCACUAUCUAGUGUCAUGUUUGGACCAUGUGUGGCUUGACCGUUGGGAACCGUGCGAGCUAUGGGGAGGACUAGAAGAUGCCUUUGGCGCAAAUGACAGGUGCCAAUUCCAAGUUAUGAUUUCAGCAAGAUGGACCGGUGCAAUUGUGACAAAGUGUGGAUUCCGCCUAAUAUGCAAUCCACUAGAGGAGGAUUUGGAGAUUUUGCUUAAAGAUGAUCAAUUGCUAGAUCCAGCUUUAGUUUACGAAAUUCAGAAUGAAGAUUGUCAAACAAGUUUAAAGGAAGCUGAUUUUGCCAAACCAGGCCUAGCUACGAAGGACACAUCCCCAGUUGAGGUCUCUCUCUCUCUCUCUGCAUGAUUGAUACACAGUCUAUGUUGAGUGUUUGUGUGUAUAUUUCAAACGCUAAAAAUGCUAGAUGAACAAGUUGAGGUCUCUCUCUCUCUCUCUCUCUCUCUCUCUCUCUCUCUCUCUCUCUCUCUCUCUCUCUCUCUCUCUCUCUCUCUCUCUCUCUCUCUCUGCGUGAUUGAUACAGAGUCUAUGUUGGGUGUUUGUGUGUAUAUUGCAAACGCUGAAAAUGCUAGAUGAACAAUUAAUAUAAGGUGAUUCUGCACGCAUGAACAUGACCAAACAGACAAAGAGGAAGACAGUUCAAAUGAAGCAAAAGAUUUGCAAAAUAGUAAAAUGACCACACGGGAAGAUAGUUCAACAAAUUACUCCACAUAAGGAAUGAACAUGGUUGACCUCUCUCUAUCUCUCUCUCUUUGUGCGCGCAUGUUGAUACUGAAAGGUGGGCACACUUUGUGGGUAUAAUAUAAAAGCUGAAAAUUCUAGACAGAUAAACAAAUCUAAUUGAGAGUGAUUCUGCAUGUAUAUGUAAUAGGGGUGGCUACAACACCUGCAAGGGAAUGAUUUGAUAUCCCAUGAGUAAUUUUUAUAAUGUAAGCAAGGAUCAAUGUCUAGUUACUGUAGAACAACUUUGGUUGAAUUAAAAAGAAUAUACUCAAAUCAAACUCUUUUACUUUAACUAUCAAAACUUGGGUAUUUCUAACAAUUUACUCGUUUAACAGAGGUGUAGGUAUUCCACACUUCUUCUUGAUUUCCAAAAUGUUAGCCCUAGAGGAGAGAUACCGGAGGAGUUUAUCCUUGUUGAAGAUGGUACCAUAUCUUUCAUGGCUUCACAGGACUUGUAUUACAAGUUCCUAGGAUUGGCUCUCUGUGUUGUUGUCAGUGUAGAAGGUGGAGAAAAGGAAAUAUCUUUUGACAUCGUGCCGCAUAUUCACGGUCAAAGGCGGAAUGGGCUAUCGGGUACUCUUGGUUCAUUUGAUUCGGAUCAAGUGUGGAUUCAGUAUCUCAUACCAAAUACACUGUGGGGAGUGUUGGAGGGAGAAGUUGAUUUUGGGCAAUUUAACGAGAGAUAUUUACGAUUUAGCGUUAAACUUAGUGUAUCGGGUGGAACAGUGAAAAGGUUGGGAUAUGUGCUUCGUUGCACACGACUAGAGGAUGAUUUAAAGGUAAUGCUUGAAGACAAUCAAUUAGUGGAUCCACCUGUACUUUACGAGGAUGGCGAUCGACAUCCAUGUGAAACCGUAGCAGAGUUCAUACACAGAUUCAUAGGGAGAAACAGGAAGCCAGUAAGAGUGAAACAGAGUAAAUGGGAAGAGGCGAGUGCAAUAUGAGUUGGCUUGCAGAUGUUAAGGAAGCAAUCGUUAAGCCAGCAAAACAAAUUCGGGGUGUCUCAUGUUUCCUGAUACCCUAGGAUAUCUGUGUCCUUGUUGAAGUAACGGAUGGCAUUCAGUUCAAUAUCUCGUGUGAGAUUCAAAUAUAUGCAAAUCGAUAGAGGGUGACUUUGCACACAACAUUCAUCGCAAGUGGGUUUGUUUUUCCAUAUUUUCUUGUCAAUCGGAUAGUGAUCUCAUUCAUAAGUGUCACAUUCUGCACAGCAUGUUUUGUUACAUAUCAUUUACUAAUUUCAGCGGCAUUAGCACUUCCUUGGAAUAGUCUCGACAUGAGAUAUAUUCUACUUUGAUAUGCCAUCUUUGGGAAUGUUUCAAUGUUCUGAUCUAAGUUAAAGAAUAUUUCGAACAAUGACAGUUGUGCUUGGCUACAAUUGUAUCUGAUGUCUUGGAAUUUUAAUUUGGGUUGCAUGUAAUUAAUUUCAGAUUUUCCAAUUUUAUGUCCAUUGAGACCUCAGUCACCCGGGAACUAUUUUCCAGAUUUGCUGCCUUUUUUUUACGUACUUGGCAAGCACAGCUAAUGGCAAAGCUUCGCAACCAUUUUUACAUAUAUAUAUCCUUGUCAUUUUUUAAAAAAAAUUAUUUUGUUUAAUCUUACAGGUUUCACAUUAGUCAUCUACAUGGUGCUUUUCAACGAUGAUGAUUACGUAUAUUCGGCCAUAUGUAAGCCUACCAAAAGGUUUAGCGCACACUUUUCAUGUUCAUAUAUGCUAACGGGAAAUAUACUAGAGUAUUGAGCAUAAUCAAUGAAUCGCUAUCAUAUGGAGCUUUUUUAUAGACACGUUGGGAUCAUGGAUUCUAAUUUGGAUAAUUUCUCAAUGCUUUUGAAAAGUAAUUUUCUUUCCUUUUUGAUGAUUAAAUUUUGAAAUAAUAACAGAUCAAAACAGGAAACCGAUCCAGAAAUUGCUGACAUCUUAUAAAAUCCAAUUCUCCCACAUUUUGUUCCUGUGGACCACAAUCUUCAGCAGUGACUUAUGUGUUGCUCCACCUUUCAAGUUUAUGGACUUCAUUAUUCAUGUGCUUGUGCAUUAUGUUGACAUUAUUUAUGUGUGUGUGUAUAUAUAUUAUUUCAAUCAAGUUCUUCUCCUUUAUAUAUGGACUUGCGCGGUUGCCCGAUAUUGCAUUGAAAACAUUGAUAUAGUAGCAUUGAUAUGAAUGGGAAAAUUACACUAAAAGUCAUAAUGAUUGGUCCAAAAUACAAUCAAUUCCUAAAAAAUUAGAAAGAAGUACAAGCAGGUUCUAUAUAUUUUGAAAAAUGUGCAAUUUAAUCCUUUCGACGAGAUAUCUACCAAUAUUGCUAUUGUGGUAUGCUGUAAAUCUAACGUGAUUUUUUUAAUAGGAAUUAAGAAAAUAUGAUAAGUGAACGCCAGAUCAUAAAACAAGUCAAAUUUUUUUAUUUAAAAAAGAACCCAAAAGCAUAUCAAAAUUCGUAAAGAAGACAAGAAAACCAAUCACUUGCAUGCCCUCAAGACCUAUAGCACAUAUGGUAUUUGAACAAAAAUUUCUCGCAAUUAACUUUAAACUAAACUUGUUACAUAAUUGAAAUACUAGAAUACUUUUAUCAAACGCUUCAUUUUUUUAGAAUAGUUGAUAAUGAUUUCAUAAAAUUCUACAAAAUUGGGUUUUGUAAGGUCAUGACUCGUAAUCUCACCCUUUCACUUAUUAUCAUAUCGUUUCGAUCUUUCAUACGUUUUUUCUCUUGUUUCUAUCUAAGUGCUAGUCUUCCGUUAAUGGAAGUGAUAAGUCGUGAAUCAUAUGAAAUCAAAUCUUUUUUAUUUAUUAGGAGAGAAUUAUCGAGUCUUAUACAUAUUAUGUGAUUUUUUAUUUUGCCAUUUUUGUGUAGAAUUCUAAUGCAAUCCUCUGAUUAGUGGCCGUCAAUAAUUGCUAACGUGGCUAUCUACAUAGGGAAGGAGCUUAAAAUGUAUCACGAUAUUAUGCGAUUUCUUUGAAUUAGAAAACUUUAUUUGAGUAGAAUGUGCCCAAUGGAGCAAGAUCAUCGUUCUCUCUCCUCAUCUUUCUCUCUCCUGUAACCGACUCCCUUCGUUCAAAGCUGAGAAAACGAGAGAGAAAAACGGACAUCUUUUCUAGCCAAGCGAUCCGAGAAACCUCCUUCUUUCUUCCUCUUUCGCCCGUCGACGCGGCCCAUCGUCGCUGCAAGGUCAUCUGUACCGCCGCCGCCGCUUCUUUCGCCUUUCUUCUCAAUCGCGGUUACCGAAAGAGUUGGGAGUCGUUUUUCCUCACCGCCUCGUGUCUUCACUCCAGAGGACUUCCCCCAUCGCCCUCCCGACGCCUUCCGCCGUCUUCGCCGGCGCCGCCGUCUCCCGCCCGUUCCGAAGCCGACCAGGAUCCCGAGGCGCCGAGACCUUCCAGUUGUGAAGCUCUUCCGCAGGCUCCGAUUCCGAUUCUCUACCCGUACUGCAGCUCAGAUAUUGAAUCCUCCGUUGACGCGAUCCAUUUGAGUUUUUCUCUGAUUGCGAGCAUCUAGCGUUGGUAAGCUCGAACCUAGGUUGGAAUCUGAACUUGAAAUGGUUAAAAAUCUGCUCCUCAAUCAACUGCGCACCAUUCGUUCGGCGAAAUUCUUGAACUAAAUUCGUGUGGAUUAUUUUGACUGCCUAUUGAUUGCUGAGCACGAUUUCAGCCGGAUACAGUUGUUGCCGAGAUUGAAUCUGACCACUGCGUUCGUUGGUGGUCGCCGAAGAGGAAGUAACCGGAAAACGACGGCCUCCUUGUUAAUCUUCUAAACUCAUCGGCACCGUUUGUUCAUCGCCUUCCUUUUUUUAUUUUGUUUGUUUGGGUCAUGGUGCGGCCGUGCGUGUGAGUUCUGAAUCAGUGGUAGUCGAGAUGGUGGCCGACAGAGGCACUCCGGCGACGGCCAAAGGUAGUAGAUGACAAUGUACGGAUGCUUCUGCCUAAAGGCUUGAACAAUGAUCUUGCUUGCAUUUAUUUACAAGUAAGUUUGUUCGAUUCUGUGAGUAACAAAAGGAGAAAAAUCCAAUAUAUAUGCGUGCGUGUCUAUUAGGGGUGAGCAUGGUCCGAGUUGGUCUGAGCCACCCCUAACCCUAUGACCAACCCGUACAGUGUUGGUCCUCAAUUUUUAGGACCGAAGACUGACCCUAUUAAGCUUGGGACCAAGGACCAGACCGACCCAAUGGAUUCGGUCCGGUUCCAGGGUCAACUCGGGACUAAUCGAUAAUUUUUUUCGUCUUGUUUUUUGUACUCCCUAAAAGAGCAAACCUACAAAUUCAAAUUACACAUCCAUCCACAAUGCGACAUUAUAUAACUAAACUAUAAAUACCAAUACAUAUUCAGUAAAUUUAAGAAAUUUUGUACCUGCUAACCGCUCAUCGAGAUAUGGGACAAGAUAGGGUCCACAAUGCGGCGAGUGGGAUGUUGCUACUUUUGAUUUUGGCAAAUUGAAGAACAAAGAAGACAGAAUGGAAGAGAACGUACUUUGGGGAAGGAAGCCGUGAGGAGAUUUACGGCGUAAACUUUGCGCCGUUUUGGACGUCACGAGUCCGUGACUGUGAAAAGUCGUUGGUCCUCACAGUGAAGAACGUACUAUGGACUAUGGAGGAGGAGGCCGUGAAGACCUUUACGGCGUAAACUUCACGUCUUUUGGAAUUGGAUGCCAUAUGUCCAUGACUGUGAGCCUAAGGAGUCAACAGCUUUAACAUCAUUUUACUUAAGUUUUGUUUUUUAUCAGACAUUUUACUUAGGUUUGAAUAUAUAAAAGAAUUAUAUAUAAUAUAAUAUAAUAUAAUAUAAUAUAAUAUAAUAUACAAGGUUGGUCAAGAGUUGGACCAACCCAAAACUCUUAGGACCGAGGACCAACCCGUAGAGUGUUGGUCCUGGAAUUUUAGGACCAAGGACCGAUCCAGUCCCCUUGGGAACCGGACCAGGACCGGCAGGGUUGGGCCGGUCCAGGGUCGGUCCAGGGUCGACCCUAGACCGCUUCUCACCCCUAGUGUAUAUGUAUAGUUGAAAAUGGACUUAGGGUGUGUUUGUUUUGUAAAAAACAAUUUCCGGGAAAACGUUUUUCUUAUUUUCCAACGUUUGGUUUAUUUAGGAAAAUGAGAUAAUAGAAAAUGUUUUUCUUCAAAAACUUAAAUUUAGGAAAAUGAUUUUUCCUUUGAAAGAACUGGAAAACGUUUUCCAAAAUAUUUUAAGGCCCUUACUUAAUGGAAAAUUUAUUAUUAAAAAGAAUUUCUAAUUAAAAAUUUUAAAUUUGUUAUUAUUAUAUCUUUUCUUUUCUUUUUUCUUGUUUUCUCUUUUCUUUCUUUGCCUGUGAAUGUAAACCCUAACUCCUCCUCCCCUCUCUCCUUCUCCUUCGCCCCUUCCCUUUUGUCAUCGCCGCCUCCUCCAACCUAGCCCAUCCCGCGCUCCUGUUGGCUUCACUCCCUCCUCUUCCUCUCCAUCGGCGUCUUCUACACCCUCAAUCAUUUUUCAAAUGCAAUUCAAACACCGAAAAAUAUUUUCAGUCACGUAUCACCAAAUAAAGGAAAACUAACCGUUUUCUUGCCAGAAAACAUUUUCCAAAAACGUUGUGUUUUUCAUGAAACAAACACACCCUUAGUGUGCACUUAUGGUUAUAUUUGGGAUUGAGCUUGGUGAGGUUAAGAUUGAAAAGGGCUGGAUAUAGUUAGCCCAUUUAUGUCCAUGACUAGAUUCACGAAGUCCCAGUGCAAUUUCUAUGUGGACCGAGCCCAUCUUUAAUAUAAAGAAAAUGGUAAAUAACAAUAGAGAAUAAAUAAUAAUAUAAUAUAAUGAAAAUGGAAACUGAUUGUUCAGACACAAGAGAAAAAUAAAUAAAAAGGCAUUGAACAAUGACCCUCUUUAUUUUCGACCAUUCAACAAUCUUACAUCUGUCCUUAUAAAAGGGUGAGAGCACCGAUUAAUGCAAAACAACCAAUCACCCCAAAUUUAGGUGGAAAAGUAUUGAUGCAAAACAUGCCUCUAAACAAGUAUGGCCUUAAUCCGCGGCGCCCCGAGCUCCAUGAUCUCCAUUUUGCCCAGUCAUAGUAAAUCCUCUCUCUAUAUUGCCAAACGUCAAUUUUUUCAAUACAUAGGAAAUGAAAAAAAAUGCCAAAAAAAAGUUACUUUAAGAAGUGUUUCCCGAGAAAAGAAACAACUUUUUUGUGUUUCUUUUUUCUGCUUCAAUUUUGUUCCGGGAACAAAAAAACAAAAAAAGAACAGAAACGCAACUAAAUGCGUUUCUGUUCUUUUUUUGUUCCCGGGAACAAAAUCCGUACAGAAGUGUUCCAGAAACACUUCUUUGGAGCGUCUCCAUGCACGCCCAAAUUUUACAGUUCUUUGUGUUGAUUUCAAUGGAUGGAACAAGAGAGAUUCUAAUGGAGAGCAAUCUUUCAUUUCUACAUUAUUGAAAUUGUCUGCGUUUGGUGUAGUGGAGACUUGCAUAUAGAUGUAAGUAUCUUGGUCAACAUAGUCCAUGGUCAUCUCGUAUUUGAGCUCCCUUUUGAUUUUGAGAGCUAUUUGUAAAUGGCUUUAACAUUUUGGGCUCUUUUUGCACAUGGGUCUGCACCCCGUUGGUGCCCUGUUUGUGAUUUUCUUUUUAUCUGUCAAAAAGAGAAGAUCACCAUUAUAUUCUAGAAUUGAUAAGAUCGAGUGAAAUAAUGGAUAGAAGUUCUACGAUUGAAUUGUUUGCACCUGGUUGUGUUGGAAUUGAGCUUCUGUUAUCUAUCUAAUCCACACAUUCUACCUUUGAAUACUUUUAAAAACUUUGUUGGAUGGGAAAUUCUUCAUUCAUAAUUCAUAUUGUGGGCUCAGUCAAAUUUUGAUUGUCUUUCGAACUUUUCUUUACAUUGAGUAUCUCAACUUGCUUGAUCUUUUUAUGUGCAAUUCGAUCCUUCCAUCACCUACUGUUACUUGCUUCAUUGAAUGUAAUUGCAAUACGGCAAUCCUCCAUAUUAAGAGUUAAGAACUGAUGUGGAAAAGCAAGAGAGGGCACUCUACCCAGGUAUCGGUUGCCUACUGUACCAUUCGUGUGCCAUUGCUGGUAUUUUUGUUUCUCUUUUCUCCUCGUUUUAAAGUUUUCUAUUUUACCAAUUGAGUAUAUUUAAAUGAUAAGAUUUACGUGUUUAAUUACUACUUCUUAUGUGAAAGCGGAAAAAAUAGACUUCACUUUAUCAUAUGUGUUUGGUCACAUCAAAUAAGUGAGUCCAAUUUAGCAUGGCCACUCAACAUUUAAAGGAGCAAGUAGUGGUAGUGGUUGGUCACAAAAGGAGCAAACUCAGAAAUCAAGCUAGUUAGUGGAAUCAAUUGCUAGAGAAAAAGGAUGAUGAAAUUGAAAAGAAGGGUACAAGUUAAAGAGGAUUGGGCCAUCAGACUCUUGCAUUCGGUGAUGAGAGGUUCGACGUCCCAUGCUAGCAGAUCGCAAUCAGUAAGUGCACUUCUCAAAGCCCAAUUAUUGAAUUCCAUAACUAGUUUCAGUUCGUGUACUGAAGAGUUUCAUGGCUUCCGCAUAUGCUAAGAUGUCCCGCUGUGCAGCCAAAAAAACUCAGAAUUUUUGCAAAUCUUUUGGUAGUUUAAGAACCACACUUCCAUUCCUUUGAGACCCCUGAACGAGAUCUGCAGCUUUAUUGCAGGAUUUAACCAGACUUCUUUCAUCCGUCCGCAGUGAAGGAAGAGGUUUUCAACUGUUUCUAGGCUGUGUUGGCACAGAAGGCAAGGUGGCAGGUAAAUUUUUCUUUUAGUGAACAAAAUUCUUUUUUUUUAUGUGGGAAGUGCCUUUUGGCACAAACUCUAAAUGAAAAACCUGAUUUUUGGAGUGGUAAUCAACUUCCGUAUCAAAUGCCAUAAAGAUUUAGGGGUCUGGUAUGAUGAUGAUGAUGCUUGAUCUGUUUGCUGCUGAAUGUUUUUGUGUCUGAGAUGGUUGGAAGUGCUUCCCAGAAUAGGCCCCCUACUUAUAAGUUUCUCUUUCUCAUCUUCAUCUGCAAGGGAAUUGCUAAAACUUUCAUUAAUAAUCAGCUCAUCAAACAAAUUCUGUACGACGGUUUCCUUCCAUCUGGAUUCUUCCUUGUUGAUUAAUUCAGCUACUUUCUCUGGCCAGAUUCGCAGACCACCUUAAUUACUAUGAUCUUGAGCCAUCAAUCUUCUCUAAUGUCGAUAUCUUCACCAUUACUCAAAGGUCACCUCACAUCCAACCUUAGUGGACACUUUUCCCCCUUUCUCUGUGGACACUCCUAUUGAAGUGCCAUUCCUCUUUGAAGUCCAAAAAUGCAUAAAUCCUUUUGGACAACAUAAUCUGAAUGCAAUAUCUUAGUUCGCACUUAGAUGAAGUCUUCCUUAUGAAUUGUCGUUAGAAAUAUCUAAUUAUUUUGAUAAUCACUUACGCUUUGAUUUGAUAGGGAAUGAAAUUACUAAGCAAAUGUAGUGCUUAUAGGAGUAACUCGUUUUUUACUAGACUUUAUGAAGAAAUUUAAACAUACUUUGUAAAAUAAUUUAACUAGGAAAACUCAAAACUCAUUAAUUCAUCAAAUUUCUCCAAAUGCACUCUUUUUUUAAUCAAUCUUCAAUCCUACCGAGCAGGCUAAAAAACUAAGAAAUUCUUUAGAUAUAUGAAGUCAUCGAUACAUGGCUAAGCAAGGGUUGGUAAGAUUGAUUUAAAUUCAAUUACUUACUGGUUUUCCUAUCAAUAAGACUUAUGAUGAAGUCACAUGGAAUUCAUAAAAUCCAAAGUAAUUAGUAGGCUCGAUUAACAUUAGUGAUAUCUUUAACCUCAUUUGUGAUGUCACUAGAGACAAAAGUAGAAUAAGCUAAAUUCUAGAUGCAAUGCCCGUCAUAUCCAACCUUAGUGGACACUCCCUCUCCCCUCCUUCCCCCCUCUUUCUUUUUGGUUUGUGGACGCUUUACCAAUUUGAAGUGUUAUUCUUUAUCCAAGUCAAAAUGCGUAAAUCGACAACAUAAUCUGAAUGCAAAAUCUCAGUUCACACUUAAACGAAGUCUUCCUUGCCAAAUUUCAUUAGAAGUAUCCGAUUAUUUUGAUAAUGACUUACACUUUGAUUUGACAGGGAAUGAAAUUACUAAGCAAAUGUAGUGUGUACUAGAGUUUCUCGUUUUUGGCUACACUUUACAAAGAAAGUUAAAUAUACUUUCUAAUAUAGUUCAACUAGAAAAACUCGAAACUCAUUAAUUCAUCAACUUUCUCCAAAUGCACUUUCUUUUUAUUUUUUUUUAUUUUUUUUUAUGAAUCUUCAAUCCUACUAGGCAGGCUAAAAAACUAAGAAAUUCUUUAGAUAUAUGAAGUCAUCAAUACGUGGCCGAGCAAGGCUUGAUUAGAUUGAUUUAAAUCCAGUUACUUACUAAUUUUCCUUAUCAAUGAGACUUAUCAUCAAAUCAUGUGGAAUUCAUAAUGAUCGGAGUAAUUAGUAGGUUUGAUUACCAGUAGUGAUAUUUUUAACCCUAUCUAUGACAUCAGUGGAGACUGUAGUAGAAUAAGCUAAAUUCUAGACACAAUGCUUGUCACAUCCAACCUUAGUGGACAUUUUUACCUCAUUUCUUUUUGGUCUAUGGACACUUUACCCUAUUGAAGUGCCAUUCUUUUUAGAAGUCCAAAUGCGUAAAUCCUUUUGGACAACAUAAUCUGAAUACAAUGUCUCGGUUCACACCUAGACAAAGUCUUCCUUACGAAUUUUCGUUAGAAAUAUCUUAUUAUUUUGAUAAUGACUUACACUUUGAUUGGACAGGAAGUGAAAUUACUAAGAAAAUGAAUUCCACAAAAAGCAUCCAAUGGGAAAGGCCCUAUAGUGAGGGCCAAAUGCCCUACUGGAGCGAGAAAUCCUUCUAUUCAAAGUGAUGGGAAGUAAGCCAUUGGCGUACAAAGUAAUCAACUCAGAAAAAGAAGCUUGAUCUAAUUUUUCGUGGCCAAGCUACAAAUGAAAAUACACCAAUUUUUGGUGAAGAUAUGCUCAAAUCAAAACGCUUUCACCAGAUCAGCACAAGUAUCUACAUACUCGCAUGACUACAUCCUAUGUAGGAUAAUAGAAUUGUUUUACAUGUCAAAGCAAUCCUCUCAAAUUAUUCAAUAGGCCUUCCGUCUUAUUUUAGAUUUCUUCGCUCCCAUUAUAUAUUGAUUUGUCUAUGGUAUGUGGGGAAAUUGUCAAAAAAAAAAUCCUAAACCUAUAUACUUUUAUCAAUUUAGUACUAACUUUUCAAUUUUGCCUAUUGAGUCAUAAACAUUUUCACAUUUUGCCAAUUGAGUCAAUCCGAUUAAUUUUGGCUGGAAAUUACUGACAUUGACCGUUGGAGCUGACAUUGCAUUUUUAAAAAAUAUUUUAAUAAUAUUUGAAUUUUUUAUAAUUUUUUCCUUUUUUUAUUAACUUUUCUUUGCCUUUUUUUUUUUUUUCUAGUUCUUGGAUUUAGAGCCAGCAAGGUUUGCGGCCAACCCUCACCUAGCUCCAAAAACUGGGAAAAAAAAAAGUGCCAUAUUAGCGUUGGCAAUUCACGUCAGCAAAAGUGAAUGAAUCUAUGAAAAUGUUUAGAACUCAAUUAGUAUAAUUAAAAAAUUUAUGACUGAAUUGACUAAAGUGCUAUAGGUUUAGAAUGUUUUGGACAAUUUUUCCUUGGUAUGUGCAUCAUGAUAUGCUCAUUUUGACAAACAAUAAAGAAAAAAAAAUGGAAGUACCAUCCUUUUGCAUAAAAGGCAUAGCAAAAAUAAUGUUAAUUUUAACCAUUAGAAUAGGUUCUUCCGUGCCUAAAAGUUUGUAACAACUUCUUUUAAGAUGCUGUCCCAUUUGACACGUACAUUAUGGAUCUAAUUGAAUAACUUCCAGCACGAAAUCAUCGUAUUUCCAAGCGUGUUUCCACCACGCUUUCUCUUGAUUCCGUAGAUUUAACGAGGUAGAUAUUUAUGAUUAUUAAAGUGCAAAAGGUCUCUAAUAAAUCCAUCGACUUUGUGGAAGAGAAUAUGAAUUGUGGAGAUAAGAAUUAACUUUGGUCAUAUGCACUGAGUGGAAUGCGUUACUCUGCAGCUUGAACGCACAGUUCUAUCACAUGCGCAUAGUUUUGAAACAUAAAUGGUCGGGGUCACUUGGCUAUCAAAGUUUGAUCAUUUUUGUAGAGCGGGGUGCCUUAUUUCAUUUUAUUUUUCUGAAAGUGACAAGCAAAUAUUCACUUGGGUUUUUGACUAAGCCAAAAAAAGAAAAGAAAAAAAAAAGAUAUCAUAAGAACCGAGCUAGUGCAAUUGUAGUAUAAUUAGUCCUAUUUAAUUUACUUAGAUGCUUUUUAUCCCAUUUUCUGUAGUGGCUACAGUUUGAACCCAAAUCUGGUAUGACAAAUUGUAAUUUCAUUUGCUACAUCAGGCAUAGAUUUGGGUGACAUAAAAAUUCAAUUCUUCAACCUGCGUUAAAGGAUUUCAUUUUUUGGUCACUUUAAAAAAAAUGAAAGUAUGGUUAACCAACUUUUGAAGCAAGAGGGCGUGCAUAAGGGGUAGUAUACCGUUAUUUGCAAUAAGAAAAAAAAAAACAAACUCAAAAUGAUAUAUCUUUCAAGGAGACUAGUUAUUUAUAAUUUGCGAAAGAAGAAAAAUAAAAGAAAGAUGCAUUGGUUGUGAUGUCAUUUCCUGGAAGCCAAUGCAGUAGCUAACCUUUUUGAAAAGAGAUGAGAUGCUCUACUUUCCAUACAAGAAAAAGAAAGACAAAGGACUAAAGUAACUUUUAGGGGAGCCAAUGGAGUGGCUGACCUUUUUAGAAGGGAUGGGAUGACACUACUUUCCACGAAAGAAAAAGGAAAACAAAGGAGCAAAGAUACGGGUCCAUUAUCACACGCGUUUUCCCCGAAGCUAGUACAUUCGUCACGGGUCCAUCAUCGUGUACUUUCCGCAAAAGAAAAAGGAAAACAAAAGGACUAAAGUUAUGGAAUCCAUUUUCCCCGAAGCCAGCUCAUUAGUCACGGGUCCAUCACCAUGUGCACAUUUGUCACGGGUCCAUUAUCACGCCCGUUUUCCCCGAAUUUUCCCCGAAGGUAGUACAUUAGUCAUGGGUCCAUCAUCAUGUUCAUCUAAUUAAUAAUUCAGAAAAUUGGCCUCCAACGAGGGGCGCAUGAAAUACGUUUAUAGAAUUUUUCUUUUUCAUAUCGACCAAUCAAAUUCAUUAACAAUCUAACUAAUAAUAAAUUCAACUUACAUAAAGAUUUGUGCUGAUAAGACAUUUCGGUCAAAUGUAAUCUUAAAUGAAAAAAAGUCUUACUAUUAAUACUAUAGGUGCCUAAAGCACACGAUAAAAUCCCACGCUAAGAUUCGGCUCAUCCUUAAGCACGUUCAUUUUUCUGAAAUUCUAAUAUAAUUGAAAGGCCUAAUAAUAUUCUUUGUCGACCUUUGAAAAAGAAAGUCAGCCCCCCCGAUAUAUAAAGAAAAUGAGGAGAAGAUCAAAUGGUGCAAACGAAGGACCAAAUCUUAGGCAACUCAUUGCUCAUUGUUAACCUUCUCUCUUCCUUGAUUCUGAUGGGUUCUUUUUCCUCCAAGGCUUCUUCUUCCUCCGAGGAGGCCAAAAGGAGUUACGAUGUAAUGGCUUCUUCUUCCUCCGAGGAGCCCAAAAGGAGUUACGAUGUAAUGGCUUCUUCUUCCUCUGAGAAGCCCAGAAGGAGUUACGAUGUCUUCCUGAGUUUCAGAGGUCCAGAUGUCCGCAAUCACUUUCUCAGUCAUCUCUACGCAGCUCUAGAUCAAGUAGGGAUAUCCACUUACAUCGACAAUGAAGAGCUGAGGAAGGGAGAACAAAUAUCACCUGCACUUAUGAAAGCGAUCGAGGAAUCGCAAAUUGCAAUUGUGGUUUUCUCUGAGAACUACGCCUCUUCAACAUGGUGUUUGGAAGAGAUAUCGAAAAUCAUGGAGUGCAAGGAGAAAAAAGGCCUCAAGGUCCUUCCGGUGUUUUACAAAGUAGAACCAAGAGAAGUGAGAGGGCAGAAACAGAGCUAUGGAAAAGCUAUGGGUGAGCAUGAGAUCAAGUUUGGGAAGAAUUCGGAGCAAGUAAAGAGAUGGAAGAAAGCUCUCUAUGAUGCUGGCGGCUUGUCCGGGUGGCCAUAUACUGAUGGGUAUGUGCGAACAACUCUACUACUUCAAUUAGUCUGGAUCUAUUGAUGCUUGAUUUUCGUUUGGGAUCCUAUAAAGUCGGGUAAUUUUACCCCUCACUCUCAAGCAAACACACACUCACAACACAGAUCACGCCUAGCCAGCACACGAAACAGAGCACCAUGUGCGAGCGAAACAGAGCACCCCGUUCGUCCUCUCAAAGCCCCCCCGAUGGCCACGCCGCUGCCCGAUUGCUACGUCCCCACGCAGCCCCAACCGCGUCACCUCAGCCCCUCUCCAUCUCUCUGUAUCGAGGGGCUUAGGCGACGACUCGCGACCCCAGAUCUGGGGCAUCGAACCCAGAUCGGGGGUUGGGUAGCCUUCGACGAUGGUCGCCGGAGGCUGGCUACAACGGCUAAGACUUUCUUCUGUCACAGAGAAAGAUAGCAGGGAAACGGAGAGGACGGGCGACGUUGAGGGGCAUGUCACGAUCGCCGGGACAUACGGUUGCUAGGCAGGGGCGAAGGCCAGGCACAUGAUUUUCCCCUUUUGAGGGCCCGGGCACGGCUUGCCCAUUCCCUUUUUCGUUCUUUUAAGUAGAUUAUAAAAAUUAAAAUGCCAGACAAAUAUGAAUUUUUUUUCACGAAACCCAAAAUUUUGAAUUUGCAAAUUGAUAUAUCCUUUAAAAAGGAAAAUUGCACAAUUGUCCAAUAUAACAAGUCUCUCUGAUAUAAAAAACAGUGCAUAAUACAUAAAAAAAACUAACCUAUACUAAUCUAUAUUGACAUCUUAUAUCUACUAUAUAUAGUUGAAGCUGGGAGAGUUUUCACUCAUUUGUACACCAUGUGGCAGGGAACUUUGCUAUGUCAUUGCCACGUGGCAGCACAUGGUAGGGCAAGACAUAUAACAUAAUUGUGUCAUAUGGCUCAUAUAUGAUUAAUUAGCAUUAGUUUAGUGAUUUGUCAUAUAUCUUAAAAUACUUGCGUAAAAAAUAUUUUUUGUUUAAAAAAAAAAACUCAUGAUAGUAAAAUUAUGGGUUAAUACCUUAAAAAAACCCCCAAACUGGUACACUUGUGACAAAUUUACCCCAAACUAUUUUUUUGAUCAUGAAAAACCCCAAACUGGUACACCUGUGACAAAUUUAUCCCGACUAAUUAUAAAAAACCCUAAACUGGUACAUUUAUGACAAAUUUACCCCAAACUAAUUUAUUCGACCACAAAAAACCCCAAACUGGUAAAUUUGUGACUAAUAUACCCUCCGAAAAAUUAGAUUAAUACCAUAAAAAAAUCAAAAAAAUUAUAAACUAUGACAAACAGAGUGUAAAAUCCCAAAUUGAUAUACCGGUCAAUUGUCACGUGUUAUUUAACUUUAUAAUUUAACAAGAAAAAUUAACUAAAACUAACAGAGGGUAAAUUUGUCACAAGUGUACCAGUUUAGGGUAAAUUUGUCAAAGGUAUACUAGUUUGGGGUUUUUGGUGGUCAAAAAAAUAGUUUUGGGGUAAAUUUGUCACAAGUAUACCAGUUUGGGGUUUUUUAAGGUAUUAACCCUAAAAUUAUCAACUUAAAUUGAAUCUUUUAUUUCAGCUGAUCUGAAUUAAAAAAAAAAGAAAAAUAAGAAGACGAAAAUAACAUGUUUCUUGCUUGUCCCUCAGGCUUCUUCAAAUUAGUCUCUGUUUCAAUUACAUCAAGCCUUUCAUUGAUCAAUAUGGGCACCUCUCUCGCAAGAGCAUCUCUCCCAUCCUUUGUAUCCACAGUCAUUUUCUCGAGCGAAAUAUUGUGUCAAGAGAGUAAUUACCUCAUUACAUGUCCCAUCAUACAUAGGACAAGAUCAAUUUUGUGUUCUGUCAACCUUUUUCUUAUUUAUUAGAAAUGUUUAUUUUAUUUUUUUAUAAGAAAAAAUAAAAAUAANNNNNNNNNNNNNNNNNNNNNNNNNNNNNNNNNNNNNNNNNNNNNNNNNNNNNNNNNNNNNNNNNNNNNNNNNNNNNNNNNNNNNNNNNNNNNNNNNNNNGAAGAGUAAGAUGAAAAAUAUAGUCAUAGACCUAUGGAGACACAGGCAUCUUGCUAGUUGAACAUAUUCGGACAAUCAUCUCCAAAUACAUUGCGGACUAGUUUCUUACUCAACAAUUCUCUAUAAUUACUUAUUCAUUUCUUUGGAUUACUCUAUAAGCAAUUUCAACUAUCUUUUCCUUGUCAGAUAUGAAGCGGGGCUUAUCCAACGUAUCGUACAGGAGAUCUCAACUCAACUAAGUCGAACACCAUUAUAUGUAGACAAGGAUCUGGUGGGGAUAGAUUUCCGAGUACAAAAGCUUAAAACAAUCUUAAAUCUACAGUCCGAGGAUGAUGUUCUUAUGGUGGGAUUAUGGGGACAGGGAGGUGUAGGGAAGACUACCCUUGCUAAAGCCAUUCAUAAUGCUAUCUUUAGAGACUUUCAAGGUGCUAGUUUCUUGGAAUGCAUUCGAGAAAAUUCCAUAAAUUCCAAUGGUUUGGUUCUUUUGCAAGAAAAUUUGCUUUUGCAAUUAUUACUAGGGAAGGAAUUACCAAUCUACAAUAUCGGUGGAGGAAGCCAGUUAAUUAAACAAAGACUUUGUAAUAAGAAAGUUCUCAUUAUUCUUGAUGAUGUUGAUAAUGCACGCCAGUUAAAUGCUUUAGCCAAAGAGCGAGAGUGGUUCGGUGAAGGAAGUAGGAUAAUUAUCACAACAAGAAAUAAGCAUCUGCUAACUUCUCAUGGGAUAAAUCCAGAUCAUAUAUAUGAAGUUAAAGCUCUUAAGGAGGGUGAAGCUCUUGAACUUUUAAGAAAGCAUGCUUUUCGAGGAAAUCAAGAGAUAGAAAUCAGCAGCAAUCUUGUUCAUCAAGUUUUGCAUUAUGCAAGAGGCCUUCCUUUGGCUCUUCAGGUGUUGGGUGCUCUCUUAUGUGGUAGAGGAGAAGAUGAAUGGGAAAGUACCUUGCAAAAACUUGCCGAAACUCCUGAUGGGGAGAUCAAUGCUGUGUUAAAAGUAAGUUAUGAUGGAUUGGAGCUUUAUGCAAAGGAGAUUUUUCUGCACAUUGCCUGUUUCUUCAGGGGGAGGAGUACGGAAUACAUUAAGAAAGUUCUUGAUAGUUGUGAUUUUCACACGACUAUGGGAUAAAAGUUCUCAUUGAGCGCUGCUUGAUUAGUGAAGAGGUAGGGAAAAUACAAAUGCAUGACUUAAUUCAAUUAAUGGGUAUGGAUAUUGUUAAAGAUGAAGAUCGUGAUUAUCCCAUAAACCGCAGUAGAUUAUGGCUUCGUGAUGAUGUUCUUGAUGUUCUUUCAGAAGAUAAGGUAAGACUUGUUGGUGUAUUUAUUCACAAUCAAUUCUAAUAUUUGCCUUUUUUUAUUAUAGUUAUAAAUAAACCUAAAUAUGUUCGAAAAACUAUACAGGAAACAAAAGCAAUAAAAGCCAUAGUCUUGCAGCUACCAGAGCCAAAAGAUAUCUAUAUUGGUCCUGAUGCUUUCACAAAGAUGAAAAACUUGAAGUUGCUCAUCUUGCUUAAUGUAGAUAAUUCUAUUCAAGGUCCCAUUCAUCUCCCUAAUGGGUUAAGGUGGUUUGAAUGGCCUAAUUGUGGUUUGACUUUAGAAUUUAGCCAUGGUCCAAAGAAAUUAGUUGGACUUGAUAUGCGGAAUAGCAAGAUCAAGGAAGCGCCCAGACACUUUAAGGUACGUAUUUACUCGGUGCUUUUUCAUUACUUAUAUUAAAUCUGAUGAUGUUUGUUAUUGUUCUUAGGAAAACGUCUCCAAUUACUACAUUUUUUUAUACAUAUUAUUUCACCUUUUACUAGCACGGGACAAUAUUUUGAUUUGUGCCCUACUGGACAGCAGAAUCGUUCAUAAGUAAUUUAUUUAGGAAAAGAGUAUACAUAUUCAAAUAUACAUGCAUGCAUACGUACGUACGUACGUACAUACAUAUAUGCAUAUGUACAUACACAUUGACCACAAAAAAAUAGAAGAAGGUACUUGUUGUUGGAAAAUACGGCUUCAAAUCGGAUAGAGUAAUCAAGUCGGACUUUGAGGCGUGAUAUUACUUUUUUUUAAGGAUUUAUUUACGCUACAAAAUUGCUAAUGGUCACCGACAAAUAUCCUCAGGAUACAACAAAGUCUCAAAUGAAAAUACGCAAUAGCAAUUCUAAUAUUCCUCCAUAAUCUCUCUAGAAAACAAUUGAAAAGAUGACUGUAGUUUUGAAAAAAAAAAAAACUUGAAAAUGACUCAAUUCUCAUUCAUGCCAAAAACUAACAUAUACAUAAAAAUAGGUCUUAACGUAUAUAAGCGACUCUUCACGAAAGGUUGCAAGUAAACAAACGCAACCAUUCAGGAAAGAUUGCAAAAUGAAUAAAUGCAACCUUUCGUAAAAGAUUGUGAAUUGAACAAGUAUAACCUCAAAGGUUGUCCUGAAGAGACAUGUAAAAUUCAGAAUAAUAAUAAAAAAAAUAGUAAUUUUUAAAAAAAUAAAAUUCAGAAUUUCAGAAUUUCCUAAAUUCCUUAAUAAACGAAAAAAAAAAACCCUUUAUACUAAUCAAUGUUAAUAAGAUAACUGUACAACAUUAAAAAUACAAUGGGACUUCAUAAUUUCCUAAAUUACUUAAUUAAAAAAAAACCUUUCAACUAAUAAAUGUUAAUAAGAUAACUGUACAACAGAAAAUAAAAAUAAAUGGGUUAGUGUUAAUUAAAUCGCGAGCGCACAAACGUGCUAAGUGCUAAGUGCACCUAAUAAUUGUACACCCGCACACGGGUAUCGUAAAGUCUAGCUCACAUGCGAACCUUUUCUUUGAACGCACUAUAAAAGGGUCAUACUUAUAAAUUGGCUCAUCUCCUCCAUUCCUAUGUGGGACAAGAAAAAGCAUCUUUGUUUGUUUUACAAAUAAACAACCAACACUUGUUCAUCAAAGUUUUGUGAUCAUGCUUAUGAUUUAUGAUGUGUGAAAAAUCAAAGUCAGAUCUUCUAAUUGAAUAUAUAUCUCUUUUUUCUUUUCUUUUUUGCUGAAUAUUUCUUGCAGGACCUUCAAAAUUUGAAGUUCAUUAAUUUUAGUUCAUGCCAAUCACUGCUUUGUACGCCGAACCUCGAUGUUACUCCAAAUCUCAAGGAAUUGGAUCUCAGUUGGUGCAAAAACUUGGAGCGUGUACACGAAUCAGUUGCAUAUCAUGGCAAUUUAC
This 21283-nucleotide long non-coding RNA is filed under the name Eucalyptus grandis. RNAcentral's name for it is "long non-coding RNA (EGRA_LNC004803)". The record is from RNAcentral. Lineage: Eukaryota; Viridiplantae; Streptophyta; Magnoliopsida; Myrtales; Myrtaceae.